This is a long non-coding RNA of Dreissena polymorpha, 817 nucleotides long. RefSeq lists it as uncharacterized. The record is from RefSeq and is a predicted model, not a curated record. NCBI's taxonomy places the organism in Eukaryota, Metazoa, Mollusca, Bivalvia, Myida, Dreissenidae. The transcript has 5 exons.
UUGUUUAGCUACAAUGACUGCUCAGGUGCAUUGGUCUAUGUCGGAAAAAACCUUCGUGGUUCAACUGAUAAAUGAUCGGUACGACGAGUUAUAUUGUCGAUUUAAAGGUGCCACACUAGGUGGCAAAAAAAAGGAACAAACCUGGCAAGAGGUUGCUGAUACCUUCAAUAGCUCCAGUGUCGCACAAUGUUCUAGGACAGUGCGUCAAAUAAAAGACAUGUAUGCGCAGUUGAAAUGUCGAGCCAAAAAAAAAAGAGUCUGACAGAAAAGAAACUGGAGGGGGGCCUCCAGCUGUAUUAACCACGGUGGAAGACCUGGUCAUAGAUGGCAUCCGCGACAAGCCACAGCUGAUUGACAUUCCGGGUGGCAUUGAUUCAGGUGAUUGUUAUGCAUGCGUGGCUGAUGUUGCUGAGAUGGCAGACACUGAUGAAGCCUCAGCCAUGUGUACACUAACUGUUGCUGAGUGUACAUCAAAGCCUGCAACUGCCUUGAAUGUAGCCACUUCUUCAACAUCAAGACCAUCAAAAGAAUCGUUGAAAAAGAGAAAGAGAAACAGAUGCUAUGAAGAAGAGCUACUUGAGCUGGAAACAAGACGAGCACAGGCUGAGUUGGACCUGCUGUUGCAGAGGCAACAGCAGGAAAAACAGCUACAUGAUCUUAGAAUUAAGGUGAUCACAGAGGCUGCAGAGCAAGAGAGACAACUUUUUACUUUAAAAAAAGAGUUGUUAAACUCAAAUAUAAAGUCUGCAAUGGAUCAAGGCCUUCUUUUGUUUGAAUCUUAAACUUAACAUGUUUCUAGGGGCAUAUCGACUGCUAA